CAACUGUUCAGACACCAGAGUUGUUUAAAGGUAGCCUUAAAGAAUAUCAACUGAAGGGUCUUCAGUGGCUGGGUAAUUGUUAUGAGCAGGGGUUAAAUGGUAUACUUGCUGAUGAAAUGGGCCUUGGAAAGACUAUCCAAGCUAUGGCAUUCUUGGCUCAUUUGGCUGAGGAGAAAAAUAUAUGGGGGCCAUUUCUUGUUGUUGCACCUGCUUCUGUCUUGAAUAACUGGGCUGAUGAAAUUAGCCGUUUCUGUCCUGACUUGAAAACCCUUCCUUAUUGGGGUGGCAUUCAAGAGCGAACGAUACUACGGAAAAACAUCAAUCCUAAGCGUCUUUACAGAAGGGAGGCUGGAUUUCACAUUCUCAUUACCAGCUAUCAACUGCUAGUGUCUGAUCAGAAGUAUUUCCAGCGUGUGAAAUGGCAAUACAUGGUGUUGGAUGAAGCCCAGGCUAUAAAAAGUUCCAGCAGUAUAAGAUGGAAGACACUGCUCAGUUUCAAUUGUCGUAACCGCUUGCUUCUUACUGGUACACCAAUCCAAAAUAAUAUGGCUGAGUUGUGGGCCCUUCUACAUUUCAUUAUGCCAACAUUAUUUGACAGCCAUGAACAGUUCAAUGAGUGGUUUUCCAAAGGAAUUGAAAAUCAUGCAGAGCAUGGGGGCACUUUGAAUGAGCAUCAGCUUAAUCGGUUGCAUGCAAUUUUGAAGCCUUUUAUGCUACGAAGAGUAAAAAAAGAUGUGAUUUCAGAGCUGACGAAGAAAAAAGAGGUUACAGUACACUGCAAGUUAAGCUCUCGGCAGCAAGCUUUCUAUCAAGCCAUCAAGAACAAGAUAUCUCUUGCCGAGCUGUUUGACGGGAAUCGAGGACAUCUUAAUGAGAAGAAAAUUAUGAAUCUAAUGAAUAUAGUCAUUCA
Molecule: unclassified non-coding RNA, 910 nt
Filed under: Hevea brasiliensis (rubber tree)
Lineage: Eukaryota; Viridiplantae; Streptophyta; Magnoliopsida; Malpighiales; Euphorbiaceae
Source: RNAcentral